Molecule: RNA transcript, 2713 nt
Organism: Xyrauchen texanus (razorback sucker)
Lineage: Eukaryota; Metazoa; Chordata; Actinopteri; Cypriniformes; Catostomidae
Gene name: N-terminal kinase-like protein
Exons: 19
Source: RefSeq, a predicted model, not a curated record
CAGCAACACCGUGGGCUGGACUGACGGGGAAGGAUGUGGUCCUUUUUCGCCCGGGAUCCUAUCAAAGACUUCAACUAUGAAAUUUUACCAGGGAACCAAGAAAAGUCAGGCAUUUGGACCCUUAGUCGGGGCAAGCGCAAGACAACGGGUGAGCCAGUGUCAGUCUUUGUGUACGAGGUGUCCCAGGGUACAGAGGAGCAGACACAGCUGGCUAAAGCUGCUUUCAAACGCACAAAAACACUUAGACAUCCCAACAUCUUGUCCUACGUAGACGGGUUGGAGACAGAGAAAAGCUUGUACAUCGUCACAGAACCAGUGACCCCUUUGGCUGAACACCUGAAAAUCCAGGCAGAAAAGGGCGGAGCUAGUGAUUUAGAGGUGUCAUGGGGCCUUCAUCAGAUUGUGAAAGCACUGAGCUUUUUGGUGAAUGACUGCCACCUCCUCCAUAAUAAUUUGGGCAUGUGGGCCAUCUUUGUGGACCGUGCGGGUGAAUGGAAACUUGGAGGGUUGGAUCAUGUGACCUCAGACCAGGGAGACUCAUCCACUUUACCAACACCAAAAGUGAUCAACCCAGUCUUGGAGAAAUAUGACCCUCCGGAGAGCCCUGGCAGUGGUGGAGAAAAAUGGACUGGGGAUGUGUGGUGCCUUGGUUGUAUAAUUUGGGAAGUAUUUAAUGGACCUUUACCACGUGCCUCCUCAUUACGAUCUCUCGGCAAGAUUCCAAAGCAGCUAGUCCCACAUUACUGUGAGUUGGUGGGGGCAAACCCAAAGGUUCGUCCCAACCCUGCACAGUUCCUCCUGAACUGCAGAUCUCCAGGAGGCUUUAUGAACAACAGCUUUGUGGAGAGUAAUUUAUUUUUAGAAGAAAUACAGAUUAAGGAACCUGCAGAGAAGCAGCAGUUCUUCCAGGACCUGAGUGAGAAUCUGGACUCCUUCCCUGAAGAUUUCUGCAAACACAAAGUGCUGCCACAGCUCCUUACAGACUUUGAGUUUGGCAACGCUGGCGCUGUCGUCCUCACGCCGUUAUUUAAGGUUGGAAAGUAUUUGUCGGCUGAAGAGUACCAGCAGAAAAUCAUUCCAGUUAUAGUGAAGAUGUUCUCCUCUACCGACCGGGCGAUGAGGAUACGAUUGCUACAACAGAUGGAGCAGUUUAUUCAGUAUUUGAAUGAAGCAGCAGUUAAUUCCCAGAUUUUCCCACAUGUGGUUCACGGUUUCACAGACACAAACCCUGCAAUCCGAGAGCAAACUGUAAAGUCCAUGCUACUGUUGGCCCCUAAACUGAAUGAGACCAAUUUAAAUCAGGAGUUGAUGCGUCACUUUGCACGACUGCAAGCCCGUGAUGAUCAGGGCCCUAUCCGCUGCAACACCACCGUGUGCCUGGGCAAAAUCGCCCCCUACCUCAAUGCUGGGAUUCGCCAGCGUGUGUUAAUCUCUGCAUUCUCACGGGCAACUAAAGACCCAUUUCCUGCCUCACGGGCAGCCGGUGUGCUGGGAUUUGCUGCCACUCAUCAAUAUUACAGUGUGACUGAUAGCGCCAAUCGUAUUUUGCCCACACUCUGCACACUGACUGUGGACCCGGACAAAAAUGUCAGAGAUCAGGUAUUCAAAGCAAUAAAAAGUUUCCUCACUAAGCUGGAGACUGUUUCUGAAGACCCUUCUAAACUAUCAGAAAUAGAAAAAGAUGUGACUGGAUCGGCACAGACAGGAGGCUCAGCUGCUACGUGGACAGGAUGGGCGGUAACAGGUGUCUCGUCUCUCACCUCCAAACUCAUCCGACAUGCUCCGGCUGGUUCAGAGGCACAGCCUGCCGAAAACAGCCCCACCCCUCAACGUACUGCUGGAUCAGUAACCACAAAUACUGCAGGCAAAGACCCUGAAAUGAGUGCACAGAGUUCCAGUGCACAUAGAAUCCAAUCAGAGACGUCAAAUGAGGAAACAGCAGAGCCAGAUGGAGAACGGUGGGAGGAUGAGGAUUGGGGAAGCCUUGAGGACCCAGAGAAGGUACAAACAGAUCCAGACGAUUGGCACUCUGAUUGGUCGGCUGUUUCCUCAACACACAGGAAAAGCAAUGUGGGUCGUAAAUCCUCUGAGGCAGUUAAAAAACAGAGUUCAGAUUGGAGCUCUGGCUGGGAUGCUGAUGACAGCUGGUCCAAUGAGAAAGACGCUGAUGUUCAGGGUCAAAGUUCACCUGCUGAUGAGGGCUGGGGUAACGACUGGGAUGAAGAUGGGAAUUUGGCUGAGAGUUUCACUCCAACAGCACGAAAUAAAAUCACCACCUUAGCUGUUGUUUCAAAGAGUGCCAGCUCAAGCUCUGGCCAAGAAGGGGUGCUAUUAGCCAAUGAUUACCACUGGGAUGGAGCAGGAGGAAAAUCAGCAACAUCUGAUCAGUUUUUCAGUGCGUCUCAACGAGCAAACACCGCUGCUGCAAUGCCGGAACCGUGCCAAUUUGGUUGCUUAGGAGACCUGGCUGGAGUCACUCAGCACCCCCUGGGAUUCAAACUCACGACUCCAGGGGUUGUAGCCAGUGUCACUCGCUGAGCUACCCAUGCCCCCCAGGAAGGAUGGUUUUAAUGCAGAAGUCUGACGGCUGGGAUGUAGACACCACAGGAGACUGGGGAACCGAGGAAAACUGGGAAUCGCUGGAUGGUGAUCAAGGUCUAAGCAAGGCAGAAUUGGCAAAGAAGAAACGAGAAGAGAGACGAAAGGAGCUGGA